This 700-nucleotide ribosomal RNA is filed under the name uncultured bacterium. RNAcentral describes it as "bacterial SSU rRNA". It matches the Rfam family "Bacterial small subunit ribosomal RNA", at positions 8 to 690 of the family's 1533-position model. The record is from RNAcentral.
AGAGUUUGAUCCUGGCUCAGAUUGAACGCUGGCGGCGUGCUUAACACAUGCAAGUCGUGCGAGAAAGGGGGCUUCGGUCCCUGAGUAGAGCGGCGCACGGGUGAGUAACGCGUGGAUUAUCUACCCAGAUAUUCGGGAUAACGGCGGGAAACUGCCGCUAAUACCGGAUACGCUCCAAUUUCGGUUGGGGGAAAGGCGGCCUCUGCUUGCAAGCUGUCGUAUCUGGAUGAGUCCGCGUCCCAUUAGCUUGUUGGCGGGGUAAUGGCCCACCAAGGCUACGAUGGGUAGCUGGUCUGAGAGGAUGAUCAGCCACACUGGAACUGAAACACGGUCCAGACUCCUACGGGAGGCAGCAGUGGGGAAUAUUGCGCAAUGGGGGAAACCCUGACGCAGCGACGCCGUGUGAGGGAAGAAGGCUUUCGGGUCGUAAACCUCUGUCGGGAGGGAAGAACCUUCCAGGUCUGAACAAGGCCUGGAACUGACGGUACCUCCAAAGGAAGCACCGGCUAACUCCGUGCCAGCAGCCGCGGUAAUACGGAGGGUGCAAGCGUUAAUCGGAAUCACUGGGCGUAAAGCGCGCGUAGGCGGCCUUUUAAGUCGGACGUGAAAGCCCUCGGCUCAACCGGGGAACUGCGUUCGAAACUGGGAGGCUUGAGUCCUGGAGAGGGUGGCGGAAUUCCGGGUGUAGGAGUGAAAUCCG